RNAcentral lists this ribosomal RNA (498 nucleotides) under uncultured bacterium. Its description in RNAcentral is "partial 16S ribosomal RNA". It matches the Rfam family "Bacterial small subunit ribosomal RNA", at positions 899 to 1397 of the family's 1533-position model. The record is from RNAcentral.
ACUCAAAUGAAUUGACGGGGGCCCGCACAAGCGGUGGAGCAUGUGGUUUAAUUCGAUGCAACGCGAAGAACCUUACCCAGGUUUGACAUGCACCGGACAGGUGUGGAAACACACCCUCCCUUCGGGGCCAGUGCACAGGUGCUGCAUGGCUGUCGUCAGCUCGUGUCGUGAGAUGUUGGGUUAAGUCCCGCAACGAGCGCAACCCUUGUCCCUAGUUGCCAGCGAGUACAGUCGGGCACUCUAGGGAGACUGCCGUCGAUAAGGCGGAGGAAGGUGGGGAUGACGUCAAGUCCUCAUGGUCCUUACACCUGGGGCUACACACGUGCUACAAUGGCUGGUACAAAGGGUUGCAAUGCCGCGAGGUGGAGCCAAUCCCAAAAAGCCAGCCUCAGUUCGGAUUGCAGUCUGCAACUCGACUGCAUGAAGGCGGAAUCGCUAGUAAUCGCUGAUCAGCAGGCAGCGGUGAAUAUGUUCCCGGGCCUUGUACACACCGCCCGU